UACAGAGGGGGCAAGCGUUAUUCGGAAUUAUUGGGCGUAAAGGGCGCGUAGGCGGCUUUUCAAGUGACGGGUGAAAUCCCUCAGCUUAACUGGGGAACUGCGUCUGAUACUGGAUGGCUUGAGAUUGGGAGAGGGAUGCGGAAUUCCAGGUGUAGCGGUGAAAUGCGUAGAUAUCUGGAGGAACACCGGUGGCGAAGGCGGCAUCCUGGACCAACACUGACACUGAGGAGCGAAAGCCAGGGGAGCAAACGGG
RNAcentral lists this ribosomal RNA (253 nucleotides) under uncultured bacterium. RNAcentral describes it as "partial 16S ribosomal RNA". It matches the Rfam family "Bacterial small subunit ribosomal RNA", at positions 524 to 776 of the family's 1533-position model. The record is from RNAcentral.